AAUGAACGCUGGCGGCGCGCCUAAUACAUGCAAGUCGAGCGAGAAGACGUAGCAAUACGUUUGUAAAGCGGCGAACGGGUGAGGAAUACAUGGGUAACCUACCCUCGAGUGGGGAAUAACUAGCCGAAAGGUUAGCUAAUACCGCGUACGCUUCUUGGACUUCGGUUCAGGGAGGAAAGCGAUACCGUGGGUAUCGCGCUCUUGGAUGGGCUCAUGUCCUAUCAGCUUGNGGUGAGGUAACGGCUCACCAAGGCUUCGACGGGUAGCUGGUCUGAGAGGACGAUCAGCCACACUGGCACUGCGACACGGGCCAGACUCCUACGGGAGGCAGCAGUAAGGAGUAUUGCGCAAUGGGCGAAAGCCUGACGCAGCGACGCCGCGUGGGGGAU
RNAcentral lists this ribosomal RNA (389 nucleotides) under uncultured bacterium. RNAcentral's name for it is "bacterial SSU rRNA". It matches the Rfam family "Bacterial small subunit ribosomal RNA", at positions 29 to 409 of the family's 1533-position model. The record is from RNAcentral.